GCGAGCGUGAGCUGACGUGGCGAUGGGUGCCGGGCAGCGAGAACAGGUUAGCGUCUCAAGGAUUCCUGAAAGAAGACGAGCAGGGGCAGAGCCACCUCCUUUGAGUAGAAGACCCAGGAACACAGAUAGAACCGUCUUGUAUAGUGUUUGAAAAUACGCGAGUGUCAUCGAUUUUUACAUACAACUCACGUCACAAAUACAAGAAAUGCGUGUUGGUGAGGAAA
RNAcentral lists this long non-coding RNA (224 nucleotides) under Rattus norvegicus (Norway rat). RNAcentral describes it as "long non-coding RNA NONRATT001913". The record is from RNAcentral. Lineage: Eukaryota; Metazoa; Chordata; Mammalia; Rodentia; Muridae.